GGGUUGUGAGGUUAAGCGACUAAGCGUACACGGUGGAUGCCCUGGCAGUCAGAGGCGAUGAAGGACGUGCUAAUCUGCGAUAAGCGUCGGUAAGGUGAUAUGAACCGUUAUAACCGGCGAUUUCCGAAUGGGGAAACCCAGUGUGUUUCGACACACUAUCAUUAACUGAAUCCAUAGGUUAAUGAGGCGAACCGGGGGAACUGAAACAUCUAAGUACCCCGAGGAAAAGAAAUCAACCGAGAUUCCCCCAGUAGCGGCGAGCGAACGGGGAGCAGCCCAGAGCCUGAAUCAGUGUGUGUGUUAGUGGAAGCGUCUGGAAAGGCGCGCGAUACAGGGUGACAGCCCCGUACACAAAAAUGCACAUGCUGUGAGCUCGAUGAGUAGGGCGGGACACGUGGUAUCCUGUCUGAAUAUGGGGGGACCAUCCUCCAAGGCUAAAUACUCCUGACUGACCGAUAGUGAACCAGUACCGUGAGGGAAAGGCGAAAAGAACCCCGGCGAGGGGAGUGAAAAAGAACCUGAAACCGUGUACGUACAAGCAGUGGGAGCACAGAGCAAUCUGUGUGACUGCGUACCUUUUGUAUAAUGGGUCAGCGACUUAUAUUCUGUAGCAAGGUUAACCGAAUAGGGGAGCCGAAGGGAAACCGAGUCUUAACUGGGCGUUAAGUUGCAGGGUAUAGACCCGAAACCCGGUGAUCUAGCCAUGGGCAGGUUGAAGGUUGGGUAACACUAACUGGAGGACCGAACCGACUAAUGUUGAAAAAUUAGCGGAUGACUUGUGGCUGGGGGUGAAAGGCCAAUCAAACCGGGAGAUAGCUGGUUCUCCCCGAAAGCUAUUUAGGUAGCGCCUCGUGAAUUCAUCU
RNAcentral lists this ribosomal RNA (863 nucleotides) under Escherichia coli. RNAcentral's name for it is "partial 23S ribosomal RNA". It matches the Rfam family "Bacterial large subunit ribosomal RNA", at positions 1 to 895 of the family's 2925-position model. The record is from RNAcentral. Lineage: Bacteria; Pseudomonadati; Pseudomonadota; Gammaproteobacteria; Enterobacterales; Enterobacteriaceae.